This 581-nucleotide ribosomal RNA is filed under the name uncultured Dechloromonas sp. Its description in RNAcentral is "bacterial SSU rRNA". It matches the Rfam family "Bacterial small subunit ribosomal RNA", at positions 505 to 1097 of the family's 1533-position model. The record is from RNAcentral. Lineage: Bacteria; Pseudomonadati; Pseudomonadota; Betaproteobacteria; Rhodocyclales; Azonexaceae.
GUGCCCAGCCGCCCCGGGUUAUACGUAGGGUGGGAGGCUUAAUCGAAUUACUGGCUUAAGGCCUGCGCAGCCGUUUGAUAAAACGGCCUGAAUCCCCGGGCUAACCUUGGGACUGGGCCUGUACGGUCUCACUAGAGUACGGCAGAGGGGGGUGAAUUCCAACGUUAGCAGUGAAUGCGUAGAGAUGUGAGGACACCGAUGGCGAGGCAGCCCCCUGGCCGAUACUGACGCUCAUGCACGAAGGCGUGGUUAGCAAACAGAAUUAGAUACCUUGGUAGUUCACGCCCCUAAACGAUGUCAACUAGGUGUGGGGUGGUUAAACCAUUUAGUACCGUAGCUAACGCGUNAGUUGACCGCCUGGGGAGUACGGCCGCAGGUUUAAACUCAAAGUNAUUGACGGGACCCGCNCAGCGGUGGAUGAUGUGGAUUAAUUCGAUGCAACGCGAAAAACCUUACCUACCCUUGACAUGUCCAGAAGCCCGAAGAGAUUUGGGUGUGCCCGAAAGGGAGCUGGAACACAGGUGCUGCAUGGCUGUCGUCAGCUCGUGUCGUGAGAUGUUGGGUUAAGUCCCGCAACGAGC